This 74-nucleotide transfer RNA is filed under the name Leptodactylus melanonotus (black-backed frog). RNAcentral describes it as "tRNA-Lys". It matches the Rfam family "tRNA". Rfam says of the family: Transfer RNA (tRNA) molecules are approximately 80 nucleotides in length. Their secondary structure includes four short double-helical elements and three loops (D, anti-codon, and T loops). The record is from RNAcentral. Lineage: Eukaryota; Metazoa; Chordata; Amphibia; Anura; Leptodactylidae.
CAUUAAGAAGCUAUACUGGGAAAAGCGACAGCCUUUUAAGCUGUAGAUAGGUGACUCCCUUCCACCCUUAGUGA